This 253-nucleotide ribosomal RNA is filed under the name uncultured bacterium. RNAcentral describes it as "partial 16S ribosomal RNA". It matches the Rfam family "Bacterial small subunit ribosomal RNA", at positions 524 to 776 of the family's 1533-position model. The record is from RNAcentral.
UACAGAGGUCCCAAGCGUUGUUCGGAUUCACUGGGCGUAAAGGGUGCGUAGGUGGUUGGGUAAGUCUGAUGUGAAAUCUCCGGGCUCAACCCGGAAAUGGCAUUGGAUACUAUUCGGCUAGAGGUUUGGAGGGGGGACUGGAAUUCUCGGUGUAGCAGUGAAAUGCGUAGAUAUCGAGAGGAACACCAGUGGCGAAGGCGAGUCCCUGGACAACACCUGACACUGAGGAGCGAAAGCCAGGGGAGCAAACGGG